This 57-nucleotide transfer RNA is filed under the name Canis lupus (wolf). RNAcentral's name for it is "partial tRNA-Glu". The record is from RNAcentral. Lineage: Eukaryota; Metazoa; Chordata; Mammalia; Carnivora; Canidae.
GUUCUUAUAGUUGAAAUACAACGAUGAUUUUUCAUGUCAUUAGUCAUGGUUAAAUUC